UAGGGAAUCUUCCACAAUGGACGAAAGUCUGAUGGAGCAACGCCGCGUGAGUGAAGAAGGUUUUCGGAUCGUAAAGCUCUGUUGUUGGUGAAGAAGGAUAGAGGCAGUAACUGGUCUUUAUUUGACGGUAAUCAACCAGAAAGUCACGGCUAACUACGUGCCAGCAGCCGCGGUAAUACGUAGGUGGCAAGCGUUGUCCGGAUUUAUUGGGCGUAAAGCGAGCGCAGGCGGAAUGAUAAGUCUGAUGUGAAAGCCCACGGCUCAACCGUGGAACUGCAUCGGAAACUGUCAUUCUUGAGUGCAGAAGAGGAGAGUGGAACUCCAUGUGUAGCGGUGGAAUGCGUAGAUAUAUGGAAGAACACCAGUGGCGAAGGCGGCUCUCUGGUCUGCAACUGACGCUGAGGCUCGAAAGCAUGGGUAGCGAACAGGAUUAGAUACCCUGGUAGUCCAUGCCGUAAACGAUGAGCGCUAGGUGUUGGGGGACUUUCCGGUCCUCAGUGCCGCAGCAAACGCAUUAAGCGCUCCGCCUGGGGAGUACGACCGCAAGGUUGAAAC
Molecule: ribosomal RNA, 555 nt
Filed under: uncultured bacterium
Lineage: Bacteria
Description: partial 16S ribosomal RNA
Rfam family: Bacterial small subunit ribosomal RNA
Source: RNAcentral